Molecule: transfer RNA, 85 nt
Filed under: Felis catus (domestic cat)
Lineage: Eukaryota; Metazoa; Chordata; Mammalia; Carnivora; Felidae
Rfam family: tRNA
About the family: Transfer RNA (tRNA) molecules are approximately 80 nucleotides in length. Their secondary structure includes four short double-helical elements and three loops (D, anti-codon, and T loops).
Source: Rfam by way of RNAcentral
GCUUGGGUGGCUCAGUCGGUUGAGCAUCUGACUUUGGCUCAGGUCAUGAUCUCACGGUUUGUGAGUUCAAGCCCCACAUCAGGCU